AUAAACAAUGAUGAGUAAUUUUUUACAGUUACAGACCUGUAAUGAUUUGCGAAAAUGAUCGCAAAAAAUUGAACAUCUAAGGGACUGAGUUUGU
Non-coding RNA from Solanum tuberosum (potato), 94 nucleotides. Lineage: Eukaryota; Viridiplantae; Streptophyta; Magnoliopsida; Solanales; Solanaceae. The record is from Rfam.